This 1959-nucleotide long non-coding RNA is filed under the name Homo sapiens (human). RNAcentral's name for it is "HSALNT0032865". Lineage: Eukaryota; Metazoa; Chordata; Mammalia; Primates; Hominidae. The record is from RNAcentral.
GAAGCCGUCCGCGGCCCCCACCCCUCCCGCCUGGCUCGGGCGCCAGGAGAAGCGGACAUUUUAGCCUCCUCUGCAAUCCGCUCUCUCGUUCGUGUCCUUCUCCCCCCUCUCGUCCGGUAGGGCCGGCAGUGUAGAUUUCCCCAGGGGCGGGGGUGGGAUCUGAGCAAUCACUCGCCCUCCCCCCUCCCAGGGGCGGGGAGGGGGUGAUUUAGGGAGGACUCCACGGGGCCCAAAGGUUCGCACCGCCCCGCCGCGGCCCAGCCUGCAGAAGCCCCCCGCUGCCGCGGCGCCCCCGCUCCCCGCCCCGCGAGGCGCGCGCAGCUGCGCCCGGGCCUGUCCUCGCUUCACCCCCACUCUGCCCCUUCGGUAUUUCUCAAUGACCGGCGCUCCGAGGACACUUCCGACGCGGAGGGAGGGGGUGUCAUUAGCGCUCGGUUAUCAGUUCCUUCCGGUCUCCCCGAGCUCAACCCUGCGCGCGGCCGGGCCGCGCCUCGGGCGAUCUGGUGCCUUUAUUAUGAUGUUUAAGUAAGCAGUCGUGUGUGCCAAGUGAGUUUGUAGCCCAGCUGUCUCCCCCAAGCCCCGCUGGCAGGAAUGGAAACCCAAGCUCUCUCGUAAUGCAGGGGAUGAUGCAAACUUAGAAACUGACCCGGCGCCCGGGAAUGAGGCCCCCCCGCCCCGGGCGUGCGGCGGCCCAGUCGGGGCAUGAAUGGCUGGAGCCCGAUUGCAUAAUCCGCGCGGUAUAAAUAGCCGGCGGGCGGGCCGCUGACGCGCUCGGUUGUGCCGUUAUCGUGCAAUGCUUCAUCCCCGGUGCCGUUCAAUCCCAGGUCGUUUUCCCUUUCAGCUGCAAUGCCGGGAUUUUAAAUAGCAGAGAUGAAAGGCCCCUGCCCCCGCCUCCCUCCUCCCCUGAGUUCAUGUAUUAUGAAUGAAACGGCAGCCUCGCUGCUUCCUGAGGUGCUCCACUUCAGGCUGGGGUGCAAUGGCUCGAUCUCGGCUCAGUGCAACCUCUGCUUCCCGGGUUCAAGUGAUUCUCCUGCGUCAGCCUCCCAAGCAGCUGUGAAUACAGGUUGGAGUGCAGUGGUGCUGUGUCUGGAGUUUGUUCCUGCCGUUGGGUUUGUGGUCUUGCUGACUUCAAGAAUGAAGCCACGGACCUUCACGAGAAAUAUUACGUUGUAUGGAUGUACCACUGUUUGUUUAUCCAUUCUUCAGGUGAAGGACAUGUGGGUUGUGCCCAGCGCGGGCUGAAUAAAGAUACACACACAGGCACAUUGGAAACGCAGUAGAAAAUGGCUGCCAAUUUAAAACCAGAAGUUAAGAAGAGCAAACUCGAAUGUACAGCAAGAGAGCUUCAGGCUGGACUGGCUUCCAGCAGAAGUGGGACUGGAAACCUCGGAUUCUAUUGUCUCUUCUCUGUGAAGUGGGAAAACAUGUCAGUAUCUGAACUUGAGCUUGGUAAUUACUGCUCAUUUCUCAACCUUUUCCAAGCCACGUAACUCCCCUAAGGCUUAGUUUUCUUAUCUGUGAAUUGCGAGAUGGUAUGUUCUUCAUCACGAGGUUGCUAUAAAGACUGAAUGAGAUAAUGUGUGUGGAAGCACCAAGCAUGGUCCUUGGCAUGCAGUAGAUGCUCAAUAAAUAUGAACUGGAGUACACAUGCACUCUGCUCCCUCCUGCCCCCUCAUAGUGCCUGGUCUGGCUCUGGGCUCCCUGGGAUAUGGCAGGUUACCAAAGCAGGCACUAAGGCAUGUCUACCCUUGGUACCUUAUUACCUAGGUUUCCUGUGCCACCUGCUUCAUUCUAAUCGCAGAUUUCAGGCUCCAUUCAAACAGAACCUCACUUCUGCUAGCUGUCAUGCUCAAAAAGGGACUGAUGACCACUGAAGCAGGCUAUGAUAGUGAUUUAUGAAUGUCAUUCCUCCAGACAGCAUUUGGAUUAUUACUGGUUUUGCUUUUAUUUUAUUUGGCG